Molecule: ribosomal RNA, 561 nt
Filed under: uncultured bacterium
Lineage: Bacteria
Description: bacterial SSU rRNA
Rfam family: Bacterial small subunit ribosomal RNA
Source: RNAcentral
CCUACGGGAGGCAGCAGUGGGGAAUAUUGGACAAUGGGCGAAAGCCUGAUCCAGCAAUGCCGCGUGAGUGAUGAAGGCCUUAGGGUUGUAAAGCUCUUUUACCCGAGAUGAUAAUGACAGUAUCGGGAGAAUAAGCUCCGGCUAACUCCGUGCCAGCAGCCGCGGUAAUACGGAGGGAGCUAGCGUUGUUCGGAAUUACUGGGCGUAAAGCGCACGUAGGCGGCUUUUUAGGUCAGGGGUGAAAUCCCGGGGCUCAACCCCGGAACUGCCCUUGAAACUGGGAAGCUAGAAUCUUGGAGAGGCGAGUGGAAUUCCGAGUGUAGAGGUGAAAUUCGUAGAUAUUCGGAAGAACACCAGUGGCGAAGGCGACUCGCUGGACAAGUAUUGACGCUGAGGUGCGAAAGCGUGGGGAGCAAACAGGAUUAGAUACCCCGGUAGUCCACGCCGUAAACGAUGAUAACUAGCUGUCCGGGUUCAUGGAACUUGGGUGGCGCAGCUAACGCAUUAAGUUAUCCGCCUGGGGAGUACGGUCGCAAGNUUAAAACUCAAAUGAAUUGACGG